Molecule: long non-coding RNA, 1531 nt
Filed under: Sus scrofa (pig)
Lineage: Eukaryota; Metazoa; Chordata; Mammalia; Artiodactyla; Suidae
Description: lncRNA (ENSSSCG00070006472.1)
Source: RNAcentral
AUGCUUGGGUCGGGAUUGACACCUCCAUCCUCAGCUGAACUGUCCCCUCCCCAGCUCCCCUGGGCCGCCGCCGCCGCCACCUCCACCUCCACCGGUCUGAGCACCUCCUCCACCUGCCCUCCUGUUGCAUCUGCGCGUUCACACCGGUCCUGUUGCUCUGGAGACUCUAAUAGCGAGCCGCUGGGGUUUUGUCAUCACGAGCAGAUGGUUCUCGUGGUUCUGGCGGGCAGGGGGGUAAAGCGGGUCCCCUCUCGUCAGUCACACACUCCCUGGAGUGUUCCAGCCCAUCGGCACCACGGAAGCCCCCCUCCAAGCCUCGUCGGGAAGCCCACCUGGUCCCCGGCCCUGGGGCGGAGGAUGGGAGAGGGACCCUUGGCCUUUGCCACAAGGAGUUACAAGACGCACCUUAGCGAGAGACACAUUGUCACAUUGCCAAGAGUGUGUGGUAAGACCUUAUUCAUCAUGGAUCCUUAUUCUGGAAGCUUCCUGGAAGAAGAGGCCUUUGAUGUGGACCUUAAAAGAAGAUCUUAAAGGAAGACCUUAGAAGGCCUGCGGGAAGAGAGACAGUAGAAUUGAAAAGAUCCCCAGGCAACACCCAGUGAAGAGAAUGUGGUAUUCAGCCUGUGGCAUUUGAAACAUCUGUUUUGACCAGAAGUAGUGUAAUUCAUCUCAAGUUAAGUCUUUGAGGGAUUUGGGAAUUUUUGCUUUCGUUUUGUUCUGACCAAAGUGGUUGCACCCCAACCCGUUCCCGUAGCUGUAUCAGCUCAGUUCUGUGCAGCCAGCUGUCGGUUUUGUGUGUGACUCACAGGCCAGACCCCGAGCCUCUAGCAGAUGCUUGAAACCCACACAAAACACCCCUGCGAGCCAGUUAACAAAUCUGAAUUUAAAGAACCACCGGCUCCGCGGUUUCCCUUGAGCGUCUAUUAGAAACAAACCCGUCCCACUUUGAUGCUUAAGCCCUCGGUGUUGGAGGCACGUGCAACCACGCCAUCUCGAAACAAAUCAGUUCUCCUUCCCCAAAAACGGACCCCACAGCAUACCAAAAACCCCAGAACAUUCCUCUAUCAGCUCAUGUUUUUUGCUGUUUAGGUGAACUUAAACCGUGAAUGAUUCACUAAGCCACACGUCAAACUAAACACCCAACCAAACUGAACAAAGAAACCUCAGAGAAACAGACACGGCUAAGAACAUCGCAUCUGAUGCAAACCUCUGUAUUGUUUGUUUUUUUGUUUUUUGUGUUUGUUUGUUUUUUGGCUUUUUAGGGCCACACGUGUGGCAUAGGAGGUUCCCAGGCUAGGGGUCAGAUCAGAGCUGCACCUACGGGCCUACACCACAGCCACAGCCACGGAGGGGAUCCAAGCCACAUCUGUGACCUACACCACAGCUCACGGCAACUCCAGAUCCGUAACCCACUGAGCGAGGCCGGGGUUUGAACCUGAAUCCUCAUAGAUGCUAGUCAGGCUCAUUACGGCUGAGCCACAACAGGAGCUCCCAAAUCUCUAACCCUUAUAACUCAUUUUUGAAGAUCUUU